AGAGUUUGAUCCUGGCUCAGAACGAACGCUGGCGGCGUGGAUAAGACAUGCAAGUCGCACGGAGAAAAGAUAGUUUACUAGCUUUUCUGGGUGGCGCACGGGUGAGUAACACGUGAGCAACCUGCCUCUUAGUGGGGGAUAGCCCUGGGAAACCGGGAUUAAUACCGCAUAUCAUCGCAAGAUGAAAGCAGCAAUGCGCUAAGAGAGGGGCUCGCGGCCUAUUAGUUAGUUGGUGAGGUAACGGCUCACCAAGGCGAUGACGGGUAGCCGGUCUGAGAGGAUGUCCGGCCACACUGGAACUGAGACACGGUCCAGACACCUACGGGUGGCAGCAGUCGAGAAUCAUUCACAAUGGGGGAAACCCUGAUGGUGCGACGCCGCGUGGGGGAAGAAGGUCUUCGGAUUGUAAACCCCUGUCAUGUGGGAGCAAGCUAGCAAUAGUUGAUAGUACCACAAGAGGAAGAGACGGCUAACUCUGUGCCAGCAGCCGCGGUAAUACAGAGGUCUCAAGCGUUGUUCGGAAUCACUGGGCGUAAAGGGUACGUAGGCUGUACCAUAAGUCGGGCGUG
Molecule: ribosomal RNA, 569 nt
Filed under: uncultured bacterium
Lineage: Bacteria
Description: bacterial SSU rRNA
Rfam family: Bacterial small subunit ribosomal RNA
Source: RNAcentral